Molecule: long non-coding RNA, 289 nt
Filed under: Fukomys damarensis (Damara mole-rat)
Lineage: Eukaryota; Metazoa; Chordata; Mammalia; Rodentia; Bathyergidae
Description: lncRNA (ENSFDAG00000033392.1)
Source: RNAcentral
CGAUUCCCCACGGGAAGGAGAACCACGCCUGCUCCUGACCCAGCAGCCAUCGCUCAAGCACCGGGAAGAACCCCACUGAGAUCUGUCUUCCGUAUCCUCCAACUUUAACCUUGGCUUUAACGGCAUCCUUCUGAAGAGGAGGGGGCUGGCUGGGUCAAGCCUCCGGGUGGAAACCACGCCCACACCUGUGACCACCAAGAGCAUCUCCAGCUGGGCCGGGCCCCUCAGUGGUCGGCACAGGCCUGCUGACCCUGCUGCCAGUGGAGGCAGCAAACAAAGGCGUUAGGUU